RNAcentral lists this ribosomal RNA (465 nucleotides) under uncultured Klebsiella sp. Its description in RNAcentral is "bacterial SSU rRNA". It matches the Rfam family "Bacterial small subunit ribosomal RNA", at positions 338 to 795 of the family's 1533-position model. The record is from RNAcentral. Lineage: Bacteria; Pseudomonadati; Pseudomonadota; Gammaproteobacteria; Enterobacterales; Enterobacteriaceae.
CCUACGGGCGGCUGCAGUGGGGAAUAUUGCACAAUGGGCGCAAGCCUGAUGCAGCCAUGCCGCGUGUGUGAAGAAGGCCUUCGGGUUGUAAAGCACUUUCAGCGGGGAGGAAGGCGGUGAGGUUAAUAACCUCAUCGAUUGACGUUACCCGCAGAAGAAGCGCCGGCUAACUCCGUGCCAGCAGCCGCGGUAAUACGGAGGGUGCAAGCGUUAAUCGGAAUUACUGGGCGUAAAGCGCACGCAGGCGGUCUGUCAAGUCGGAUGUGAAAUCCCCGGGCUCAACCUGGGAACUGCAUUCGAAGCUGGCAGGCUGGGGUCUUGUAGAGGGGGGUAGAAUUCCAGGUGUAGCGGUGAAAUGCGUAGAGAUCUGGAGGAAUACCGGUGGCGAAGGCGGCCCCCUGGACAAAGACUGACGCUCAGGUGCGAAAGCGUGGGGAGCAAACAGGAUUAGAUACCCGAGUAGUC